Microcebus murinus (gray mouse lemur) is the source of this 365-nucleotide non-coding RNA. NCBI's taxonomy places the organism in Eukaryota, Metazoa, Chordata, Mammalia, Primates, Cheirogaleidae. The record is from RefSeq and is a predicted model, not a curated record.
GUGAGGAAGGGGAGGAGGGAAGCAGACAGGUUAGUGGGGGAAUUUGGAAAAGAAGUCACUUAGAAUGCUGGAGUGCAAUGCUAGCUGAGCACCCGAGGGGCGAGAGGAUGCAGAGAAAAGAAGCGAUUGGAAGAACCCUCUUGGAAGAGUGCACACAGGAAAUUGCCAUCAUGGACAAACCCAAAAUGGAGCAGACGUGGAAGGCUGAGACCAGAACAAACAGCUGGGAAGGAGCAGGUGAAGUCCUAAAGGCCUCCCAGCCUGGGGUAAGUUGUUUCGUCAAAUACCGGAGUCUUGAGGAGAAGCCGUGCUGCCUGAGGUCAGAGCAGAUGUGUUGGCAAAAGACACAGGGAGGCUCGAUCAGA